RNAcentral lists this ribosomal RNA (471 nucleotides) under uncultured organism. RNAcentral's name for it is "partial 16S ribosomal RNA". It matches the Rfam family "Bacterial small subunit ribosomal RNA", at positions 335 to 797 of the family's 1533-position model. The record is from RNAcentral.
ACUCCUACGGGAGGCAGCAGUGGGGAAUUUUGGACAAUGGGCGAAAGCCUGAUCCAGCAAUGCCGCGUGUGUGAAGAAGGCCUUCGGGUUGUAAAGCACUUUUGUCCGGAAAGAAAUCCUUGGCUCUAAUACAGUCGGGGGAUGACGGUACCGGAAGAAUAAGCACCGGCUAACUACGUGCCAGCAGCCGCGGUAAUACGUAGGGUGCGAGCGUUAAUCGGAAUUACUGGGCGUAAAGCGUGCGCAGGCGGUUUGCUAAGACCGAUGUGAAAUCCCCGGGCUCAACCUGGGAACUGCAUUGGUGACUGGCAGGCUAGAGUAUGGCAGAGGGGGGUAGAAUUCCACGUGUAGCAGUGAAAUGCGUAGAGAUGUGGAGGAAUACCGAUGGCGAAGGCAGCCCCCUGGGCCAAUACUGACGCUCAUGCACGAAAGCGUGGGGAGCAAACAGGAUUAGAUACCCGUGUAGUCCCA